Long non-coding RNA from Frieseomelitta varia, 660 nucleotides. RefSeq lists it as uncharacterized. Lineage: Eukaryota; Metazoa; Arthropoda; Insecta; Hymenoptera; Apidae. The record is from RefSeq and is a predicted model, not a curated record. The transcript is spliced from 3 exons.
CGUCGACUGAUCGGCGGGAGAGAAGCUUUGGACACGACAUUUCCAGAACGCAAGCGCGUUUGGUUUUGUUUUUGCGAACUUCAACCAACGAACUUUCUGUGUUUCAUGAAUGAGGGAAGUAGAUUCGAAGGGGAAACUUUCGUCGAUAAUAAUAAGGGAGCGUUCACGUUUUUUUUUNUUUUUUUUUGUCUUUUACAGGUUCGUUGUAGAGGAGAUCGAUCGAAGUUAUAGUACAGAGAAAUCAUUCGGACAAUAAGCAAAUGUUUGUGCCAAGUUUUCUUAAAUCUUCUAAUAAUGGUUGAAGUCUUGAACUUUCUAAUAAUGUGAGGAAUAAAUAUUUUUUGUGGAGCCGUGUGCCUGUUUUGAUUCAAAGAAUCUAACAUUAGAUUAAUUCAAGAAUAAGCGUUGCACAUUAUCCAGGAAGUUAAAUAAACUACGUAGACUUCGGUUGGUAAAUGAGUAUGUCUGUAAUACGAGAUAUCUGUAACAAACAAUUUUUCGCAAUGAUAAAACAAUUGCAGUGAUUGUAGCGAUUAUAUCAAAAAGAUGUAUGAUCCGUUACCAGUCUCUGUAAGUUUUGGUGGAUACUGGGAUACGGAGAUCAACAGAAUAAGAUCGUAAGCGUUUUUAGCUGGCAAGUUAUACCACCCGAUCUUGUAG